UUUUGGAUUUGUCUGCUGGUCGGCCGCUGUAGUCUACGGCAUCAGCUACCGUCCAACUCCCUUUGCUCUCCUGAAAACCACCACAUCAAUCUUCAGUUUACAAAUCUUACAACCAAUAGUUUACAACCACAGAAGCAAAUAAUGAUGGAGAGGAAACUGCCUUUUUAUAGCCACAAAAAUGAAUGAAAGAGAGCUAGCACCGACCUUCCACUAUAUGUGAUUUGAGACAUAUCACAAAAACGUGAAGUCUUAAGAGAUAGGUUCAUCACACUUUAUUUCCAACUUUCCACCAUUUCUUUACUUAUAUAUAUUGUAAAUUAUUUUGGCUAUUUUUUUUUUUGUCUUUUUUUUGUGUGUUUUUUUAUCCUAUUUUGUCAUUUGUUGUAAAACUAUGAUGAUGAAUUAUUGUAUUUGAUCCAUAUCGACAAGGGAUAGAAAUGGAUCAUAGAAAAGAAACACUUGCAUAUAUUCCCAUAUAAAAUGUUUUGAGUGAUCAAGUAAAGAUUCUCUACGAGGUUUCUUACUGUUA
Camelina sativa (false flax) is the source of this 529-nucleotide non-coding RNA. NCBI's taxonomy places the organism in Eukaryota, Viridiplantae, Streptophyta, Magnoliopsida, Brassicales, Brassicaceae. The record is from RefSeq and is a predicted model, not a curated record.